This 500-nucleotide ribosomal RNA is filed under the name uncultured Glomeromycotina. Its description in RNAcentral is "partial small subunit ribosomal RNA". It matches the Rfam family "Eukaryotic small subunit ribosomal RNA", at positions 591 to 1092 of the family's 1831-position model. The record is from RNAcentral. Lineage: Eukaryota; Fungi; Glomeromycota.
CCAAUAGCGUAUAUUAAAGUUGUUGCAGUUAAAAAGCUCGUAGUUGAAUUUCGGGGUCAGUAGGCUGGUCGUGCCACAGGUAUGUACUGGUCUUACUGAUUCCUCCUUCCUGAUGAACCGUAAUGCCAUUAAUUUGGUGUUGCGGGGAAUCUGGACUGUUACUUUGAAAAAAUUAGAGUGUUUAAAGCAGGCUAACGCUUGAAUACAUUAGCAUGGAAUAAUGAAAUAGGACGAUCGAUCCUAUUUUGUUGGUUUCUAGGAUUGACGUAAUGAUUAAUAGGGAUAGUUGGGGGCAUUAGUAUCCAAUUGUCAGAGGUGAAAUUCUUGGAUUUAUUGAAGACUAACUACUGCGAAAGCAUUUGCCAAGGAUGUUUUCAUUAAUCAAGAACGAAAGUUAGGGGAUCGAAGACGAUCAGAUACCGUCGUAGUCUUAACCAUAAACUAUGCCGACUAGGGAUCGGAUGAUGUUAAUUUUUUAAUGACUCAUUCGGCGCCUUACG